Molecule: ribosomal RNA, 463 nt
Filed under: uncultured bacterium
Lineage: Bacteria
Description: bacterial SSU rRNA
Rfam family: Bacterial small subunit ribosomal RNA
Source: RNAcentral
GAUGAACGUUGGCGGCGUGCCUAACACAUGCAAGUCGAACGUGAAAGCUAUCUUCGGGUAGCUGAAAAGUGGCGAACGGGUGAGUAACACGUAGAUAUCUGCCUUGAAGAGGGGAAUAACCAUUGGAAACGAUGGCUAAUACCGCAUAAUCUCGAAAGGGUAAAGCUGAGGCGCUUCAAGAGGGGUCUGCGUUCGAUUAGCUAGUUGGUAGGGUAAAGGCCUACCAAGGCGAUAAUCGAUAGCUGGUCUGAGAGGAUGAUCAGCCACACGGGAACUGAGACACGGUCCCGACUCCUACGGGGGGCAGCAGUGAGGAAUAUUGCACAAUGGGGGAAACCCUGAUGCAGCAACGCCGCGUGGAGGACGAAGGCAUUUGUCGUAAACUCCUUUUCUGUGGGAAGAGAAAGGACGGUACCAUAGGAAUAAGUCACGGCUAACUACGUGCCAGCCGCCGCCGUAACAC